Molecule: ribosomal RNA, 256 nt
Filed under: uncultured bacterium
Lineage: Bacteria
Description: partial 16S ribosomal RNA
Rfam family: Bacterial small subunit ribosomal RNA
Source: RNAcentral
UACGUAGGGGGCAAGCGUUUGUCCGGAUUUAUUGGGCGUAAAGAGCGUGUAGGCGGCCUGAAAGGUCAGCUGUGAAAACUCGAGGCUCAACCUCGAGACGUCGGUUGAAACCAUCUGGCUAGAGUCCGGAAGAGGAGUGUGGAAUUCCCGGUGUAGCGGUGAAAUGCGCAGAUAUCGGGAAGAACACCCGUGGCGAAGGCGGCACUCUGGGGACGGUACUGACGCUGAGACGCGAAAAGCGUGGGGAGCGAACAGG